UACGUAGGGUGCGAGCGUUAAUCGGAAUUACUGGGCGUAAAGCGUGCGCAGGCGGUUUUGUAAGCCAGGUGUGAAAUCCCCGGGCUCAACCUGGGAAUGGCAUUUGGGACUGCAAGGCUGGAGUGCGGCAGAGGAGACUGGAAUUCCUGGUGUAGCAGUGAAAUGCGUAGAUAUCAGGAGGAACACCGAUGGCGAAAGCACUCUGCCGGGCCGACACUGACACUGAGAGACGAAAGCUAGGGGAGCAAAUGGG
RNAcentral lists this ribosomal RNA (253 nucleotides) under uncultured bacterium. Its description in RNAcentral is "partial 16S ribosomal RNA". It matches the Rfam family "Bacterial small subunit ribosomal RNA", at positions 524 to 776 of the family's 1533-position model. The record is from RNAcentral.